Long non-coding RNA from Lycium barbarum (goji berry), 430 nucleotides. RefSeq lists it as uncharacterized. Lineage: Eukaryota; Viridiplantae; Streptophyta; Magnoliopsida; Solanales; Solanaceae. The record is from RefSeq and is a predicted model, not a curated record. The transcript has 3 exons.
AUCAUCCAAAUUCCAUAGAACUUUCAAGAGAAAGAAUAGGAGGAAAAACAAGAGAAAAACAAGAACAAAAAGAGGGCAUUUCGGGUUUGGCCAUAGAAAAAUCACCCCUCAAAAUCUUGCCUCUAAAAUUAUUUUCUUGUUGAAUUCCUACUAAAUUAAGUGUCCUCUACAACUUGGUGUAAUUGUUUUGGAAGAAGGAGCACUUAUUUCUUCAAGUUGACAACUUGUUCAAGUGAAGAAGUUUGUAGAAAAAGUUUUUCGACGAAACGGGAAGUGAGUUUGGAAAGGCUUAAGGAGCGCGAAAGGUACUGACGACAGGUUCGCUGAUCCACACGUUUAGGAUCCUAUUUCUGCUAUUUGGGGCGCUCUAUUCUACAGAGCCCAUCUUUUGGUACAGUCUGUCACUGCUAUCUGGAUAUGUACUUUGUUC